This 1730-nucleotide long non-coding RNA is filed under the name Homo sapiens (human). RNAcentral's name for it is "HSALNT0068723". Lineage: Eukaryota; Metazoa; Chordata; Mammalia; Primates; Hominidae. The record is from RNAcentral.
CCCCACCCUAUGUUCUAUGGAUAACAUGCGACCCAAGCCCAGCCAAUGAGAGCAUCAGCUCCCCAGGCUAUGCUGAUGCCUCGGGAAUGGGGCAUCUUGGCUCAGAAAGUGGCCUGCUGGGUGUUGAAGGCCAGCUCUUUUGUCAAUCCGGCAGAGUAGGAUUUUAGGCUAUUGCCUUCCUCAGUGUCUCAUGUUAGAUGUGGCUGCUCUUUGCUUGUCUGGUGAAAAAUGGCAGCUGAAAGGCAUCUGAUGGCCUCCUCCCUGGGUCACCGUGGAUGCUGGCCAGCCCACUGGGUGUGACCAUUCCUGUUGCUGUGCCCUCUCUGCUUGGACACAUGGCCCUUGCCUCACACCCACCAUUCCACGGUGAGGCACACUGUCACAUGACUGUGAGCCGCCCUCUGGCACAAGAUGCCCAGGGUUCAAAGCCCAGCUCCCAUGUGUGUCACUGAAGGAGCCACUUCCCUGUGCUGGGCCUCCCUUUGUCUGUAGGUGGGGAUGAUAACGCUUGUAUGCCACCAACCCCCCUGACAUGAAGCACUCCACAGAGUGCCUGGCUUCAGCUUCCAGCGGGCACUUAGUACAUGGCGGCUCUCAUUAGUGAGCUCCAUUUUGACUUCAGCUCCGUGAUAAGGAAGGACCCCACCUUGCACCAAAGUGGAUGGCAGACCUCAGGCUUGGCCAGAGCAUCCAAGGAAUGGGACUCACUGCCCACGAGGCCAAGGAUUAGCCCUGCAGAGACUCCUCACCUGUAAAAUCAAAGGGAAGAGGGAUGAAAUUCUGGCUACGGCAAGCACAGCCUAUCAGAGGGAGCUCCCUUAAAUCCCACUUCUUGCUUAACAGGGAAGCUGCGUGACCACAGUGUUGGAAAAUGGAAUCAGGCUACACGUGCUCUUGUGGGAAUCCCACGGCAGCGUCCCCAUGAGGAGGCAGGGGCCCACCAUCACCGGCUGCACCUCUGACCUUCGAUGACCUUGGGGGCCAGGUGUCACGGUCACCCUGCACACGUGGGUUCCCUCAGCUGCUCUCAGGAACAAGAGAAUGAACCUGUCACCUCCUCUCCCGCUUGAAGGACAGCACCAUUUAUUGUUUACUGUGGGCUGAGACAGCUGGGGAUUCCUCACUGCGAUGGAGCCGACAUGCAAUAUUGAGGCAAAGAUGGCAGGGAGGUGGGGGGCAGCGCAGAGGAGAAGAGGAGAGAGCCCUCCCACAGCAGGCCUCCCUCUGGGCAGGCUGAGCUUUGCCACUAGCAAGCCCCGCCGGUGCCGGGGAAGGGGAGAAGACACAGGACCUGGAGGGAGGCCUUGGUGAAUUGAGCCUUGGCUUUGCUGGGUGACCCAGGCUUGGUCCCUGGAUGCCUCUGAGCUGUUGCUGGAACGUGACCUCCCACCUCCCACGAUAGAAGAAAAGUGGUCUGGACAAAGGAGGCUGCAAUGGACUGAAUGUUGUAUUCCUCCCCAGUUCACAGGCUGAACCCCUAAUCCCAAGGUGAUGGGAUUUGGAGGCAGGACCUUUGGGAGGAAUUAGGUCAUGAGGGUGGAGCCCUUGUGAUGAGAUUAGUGCCCUGGUAAGAAGAGGCCAGAGAGCUGGCUAGCUCUUUUUCUGCCACGUGAAGAUAACGAGAAGGCAGCCACCUGUAAACUAGGAAGACAGCCCUCACCAGAACCUGACCUUGCUGGAACCUUGAUGUUGGACUUUCAAACCCCAGAGCUAUGAGAAAUAAAUGUCUG